GACGAACGCUGGCGGCGUGCUUAACACAUGCAAGUAGGACGCAGUUGCGAACGGGUGAGUAACGCGUAGGUAACUACCUAUUAGAGGGGGAUAACUAUUGGAAACGAAAGCUAAAACCGAUUACUAGUAGGUGGACCGGGGUUGUAUUGGCUAGUAGGUAGGGUAAUGGCCUACCUAGGCAAGGAUACAUAGCCGACCUGAGAGGGUGAUCGGCCACACUGGGACUGAGACACGGCCCAGACUCCGACGGGAGGCAGCAGUAGGGAAUCUUCGGCAAUGGGGGGAACCCUGACCGAGCAACGCCGCGUGAGUGAAGAAGGUUUUCGGAUCGUAAAGCUCUGUUGUUAAGGAAGCGGUACUUAACCAGAAAGGGACGGCUAACUACGUGCCAGCAGCCGCGGUAAUUC
Molecule: ribosomal RNA, 407 nt
Filed under: uncultured bacterium
Lineage: Bacteria
Description: partial 16S ribosomal RNA
Rfam family: Bacterial small subunit ribosomal RNA
Source: RNAcentral